GAUGAACGCUGGCGGCGUGCCUAAUACAUGCAAGUCGAGCGAACUGAUUAGAAGCUUGCUUCUAUGACAUUAGCGGCGGACGGGUGAGUAACACGUGGGCAACCUGCCUGUAAGACUGGGAUAACUUCGGGAAACCGAAGCUAAUACCGGAUAGGAUCCUCUCCUUCAUGGGAGAUGAUUGAAAGAUGGUUUCGGCUAUCACUUACAGAUGGGCCCGCGGUGCAUUAGCUAGUUGGUGAGGUAACGGCUCACCAAGGCAACGAUGCAUAGCCGACCUGAGAGGGUGAUCGGCCACACUGGGACUGAGACACGGCCCAGACUCCUACGGGAGGCAGCAGUAGGGAAUCUUCCGCAAUGGACGAAAGUCUGACGGAGCAACGCCGCGUGAGUGAUGAAGGCUUUCGGGUCGUAAAACUCUGUUGUUAGGGAAGAACAAGUACAAGAGUAACUGCUUGUACCUUGACGGUACCUAACCAGAAAGCCACGGCUAACUACGUGCCAGCCGCCGCAGUAA
RNAcentral lists this ribosomal RNA (514 nucleotides) under uncultured bacterium. RNAcentral describes it as "partial 16S ribosomal RNA". It matches the Rfam family "Bacterial small subunit ribosomal RNA", at positions 28 to 523 of the family's 1533-position model. The record is from RNAcentral.